CUAGUAAUGGCAGGUCAGCAUACUGCCGUGAAUACGUUCCCGGGCCUUGUACACACCGCCCGUCACACCAUGAGAGUUGGGGAUACCCGAAGCCUGUGAGCUAACAGUAAUGGAGCAGCAGUCGAAGGUAGAAUCAAUGAUUGGGGUGAAGUCGUAACAAGGUAGC
Molecule: ribosomal RNA, 166 nt
Filed under: uncultured bacterium
Lineage: Bacteria
Description: partial 16S ribosomal RNA
Rfam family: Bacterial small subunit ribosomal RNA
Source: RNAcentral